Heterocephalus glaber (naked mole-rat) is the source of this 6455-nucleotide non-coding RNA. The record is from RefSeq and is a predicted model, not a curated record. Lineage: Eukaryota; Metazoa; Chordata; Mammalia; Rodentia; Bathyergidae.
UCUCCAGCUACUCCCAUUUCUCGCUCUCCUUCACAGCCACAGUCCUCAGUGAGUUGUUCCUACGCCUCCCCUCUGCACUCUGACCCACACCAUCUUGCUUCUAUUCUGCAAACAUCUGCUCUAUUUAGAUACUUUUAGUCAAGCUCCCCUCUGCCCUGCAUUUUUCAGCCUCUCACUGACACUGUCCUCACUGGCCGAUCUCCUGCCCUGUUCUCCCACUUGGAGGAGCCCUUAUUCCCCGAUCUGAGAAGUCUUCUUUCUUUGGGCUUCUAUACCCCAUUGUCCUACUUGACUGGCAAUUCCUGUUCAGUUCUGUAGCUGUUUCCUCUUCUGCCUGACCUUUAGGUCGGCCUGGACAUUCCUUAGGACUGGGCCUUUUCCAGUCCCCUAACCCUCUAAACGACGGCAUACACUUUCAUGGACUUCAAUGCCGUCUUCCAUUCAUUUCUUCAACACUUAAAGCAUUGGCGCCUUGGGUAACUUUCCAGGUGAGAGCUCGUCUUUGAUGUUCAAUACAUUUAUCACGUCUGAAAGGCUACAUUCCUCCUUCCUGCAACCCCACCUUUCCCUCCGGUCAUCUCCCUCAUGGUCUCAGCACUGGCUCUCUGACUGCUUAAGCAAGAAUUGCAGAAGCCAUCCUUGCAUCUCCUCUUUCCUUCCUCUUAAUUCACAGUCUGACUUUAAUUCCCGCAAUCUUUCUCGAGAACAUAUAAAACCUGGCUGGGCUUGGUGGUCCACGCCUGUAAUCCUGGCAUUCAGGAAGCUGAGACAGGAGGGUCACUGCAGGUUUGAGGCCAGCUGGGCUCUGUAGGCCAGUGUGAGCUACAUAUUGAGUCCUGGUCUCAAAACAAAUAAAAGAAAAUAAAUCUAAAAUCCCUUCGUUAUUCCGUAUCUCUCUCCAAAGCAACAUCAUCUUUAUUUGUCUCCUUAUUUCCUUAUUCCUCUUUCUAAUCUGCUCUCCACUUAGCACCUGAAGUGAAAUUAAAACUGAAAUCAUCAUAUUUCUGUCCUUCCAUUUCUUUCAGUCCUUAGAAUAAAAGCCAGACUCUCAGUGAUGGCUGCGAAGGUCCUAAAGGACAACGACCCCAACCUUUCUGGCACCAGGGGCCAGUUUCCUGGAGGACAAUUAAUGGCUUGGGGACCUGGGAUGGUUCAAGAAUUUAUUCAAUCCUUCUAUUAUUAUAUAUUAUAAAAUACAGUGAGGUAAUUAUACAACUGACCACGAUGAGCCAUCAGUGAGAGCCCUAAGCUUGUUUCUCUGCACCUAGAUAGUCCCAAGGGGAGGAAAUGGAAAUGUGACACCUGUGUGUGGCCCUUGUCCAGUCUGCUCCCCAGUCUUGUUUUGGUUGCUGUCACCACAGAAAACCCUGCUUCACAGAGAUAGGGCGUUAGAAAUGGGAGCAGGCUUGUCUGAGCUUUUGUGACAAUCUCAGGAUAUUCCACUUUGAAUUUAAUUCAGAAUGUAUGGAGAUUUGAAGUUGUCUCAAACUUUCUUUUAAGGCUUCUGUUAUUUCCAAUUUCGAUCAGUUUGUGCUCUUCUACCACAGACAAAGUCCACUGACCUCGUUAAUUCACAUGUGGCUCACAGAUCCAUCCCUUCUCAAUUUUGGGUUAUUUUUUGGUUGGCAAGUAAUGCUUCAACUCUUUUGAAGGUUACAAUAGGUGAUCAUGCACCAGCUGGCAGAAAGAAGUUCCUGGCCCAUUCUCUUUCAAAAUCUUUGCUAAUGUUUGAAACAUGCCCCAAAUCCCAAGACCCACAGGCUGCCCCAGUAGUUCCAGUUUAGCUUUGAAUGCAUCCACUUUAUCUGCUGCUGUUCUCCCCUCAAGUGGCAGAUUGAGUUUUUCAAGCAGGUUGGAUAUAUCUCAUAAAUAAGCAUGUUAUGUGACCCAUUCCGUGUCACUGAAACGUGCAGUCAAUGGUGCUGAUUUAUAAAAGCAAUCUCUGGAGCAAAUCUUGUAUUUCAAAAACUCUGGCCGCUGAUCUACCUACCUUUAGAAAGCCACCUUACUCCUGUGUAUAAGAGAAGACCUGUGUGCUCUGUGUCCAUCUCCUCACAGAGUUGCACAAACAGGUGUGAGUUAAGGGCCUGUACUUUAAUGUGGUUGGUGAUCCUAAUGACAUCCUGAAAAAUGAUACUAAGUUUAAGCUAGCCAGCAUUUCUCGAUGGAUGACACAGUGUAUAGACUAACACAGAAGUGAGCUCUUUGACCCAGUAGUGAAAGCGGAAAGCCAUCGAGUCAUGGCAGCUGCUUUUGCUGCACAUAUACAGACAUAAAAUGACCAAUUCAGUUUUCCUGAUAUGGAAUCAUUCAAAGACUUGAAUAGUUUCACAAGCUGUAGCGUUGGUUGGGAACAAAAAUGCGUAUAGCAUUUCUUCAUGCACAUCUGCCUGAAAAGGAGAUCACACAGAACACGCACUGCUGCCCUGUUGUCAGCAUCAGUGAACUUGUCCAAACUGACUCCGUGCCAGAGUGAUUCAUUACUCCUCUUCAACAGUGCCUCGAUGUCCUUGGUAUUUCAUUAAUUCAUCUAGUUAUGGUGCUGACCAAAAGAGGAACAUGUGCCACACUGCGAACCGAAUCUUCUCCUAAGGCUUCAUGAGGAGUGUUCUUCACAGCAGGCAGGAUCAACUCUGCACCAGCAGUGGAGGCUUAGCUUUAGCCGCGUGGGUGGCAUUGAGAACGCUGCUCUCAGUGCAGACACAUCGGAUGCAUUGGUGGCCUUCAAUAACCACUUCCGUUGUUUCUGUUUACACUCUUUUCUUUGGAAAAACUUCAAAGGCAUGACUUCUGAAUCAGGAUGCUUGGUGUCUAUGUGGAGAAGCAGUUUUGAAGAUUUCAUGGCUUUGGUGGUUAGCUGAUCACCACAAAUUAUACAAAACAGGCUUGGAGUAUGUGAAUCAUCUGUUGUAAUAUGUUCAUAAUUUAAUUAGGGUCCUUGGUAUUUUCCUUAAAUGCAAUUUUCUUUUUUGGCAGUUUUAGAGUCUUCUGUUGUCUCAUCAUUGGGUCUUUCCCCCCUUUCAAAGAAGCUGUCUGGUGAUGUUUGUUGUUUGCUCAUUUUGACUAGGGUUUGACUAUGGGCUUACCACAACUGUGACUGAGGCAAGUGUGUAGUGUGGAAAAGAGAUAUUGAUAAAGUAGUUAAUAGAACAAUGGGACAUCAACUCACUUGCCACUGUAAAGCCUGACACCAGACACAGUUUAACAGUCACUAUUUACUGAUAGAGUUUUGAUGUAAAUCUGUAAGCAAUUGAUUUCUUAUGGUCUCUUUGCAGUCAAACUUGUCUGCUGAAGUUAAUCUGUAUUUGCAACUGCUUCCCAGUGCUACCAUCGGUGCCUCAGCUCCACCUCAGACCAUCAGGUGUUAGAUUCUCCUAAGGAGCUCCAACCUACAGCCCGCACGUGCACAGCACUCAGUAGUGUUUGUGCUGUGAGAAUCUAAUACCAUUACUGACCUGACAAGAGGCACAGCUCAGGUGGUAAUUUGAGUGAUGGGGAGCAGCUGUGGCUAAAGAUGAAGCUUCACUUCCAGCCUGCUGCUCAGCUCCUGCUCUGUGGCCCAGUUCCUAGCAGCCCUUGGCUGGUACUGCUCCAUGUUCUGGAGUAGUGGUGGUGAACCUAUGGCACAUGUGCUGCAAUGGGCUGUUUGUUAUUGUUCAAAGCUCUAAAAGGUUUACCAUGCCUGGCUAUGGGCUGGGACCCUUGAUAUAGGGUUUGGUCCCAGCUUAUCUCUUAGACUGGAGCCACUCUCUUGUUCUAGCCUUUUUGUUUGUUUGUUUGUUUGUUUGUUUGUUUCAGGCAACGGUCAAGAUCUUUGGCAGGCUUUCUCUCUUCUUGGCCUGCUGCCCCUGGCUCUGGACAUAGCUGACUUAUUCUAGGUCUCAGAAAUGAGGUUAAAGGUUGUCUCUGAGUAAUUACCUGGCCACCUUCUAUAUUAUCUGUUUCAUUGUGGAAUUUGUUUCUUUCAUGACACAUCACAAUUUGAAAUGAUUUCAUUUGCCUACUGACCUACACCCUAUUUAUCACUUGUAUUUCUGUCAUUUAUUUAUUUAUUGGAGUACUGCAGCUUUAUUUUAUUUUGCGAUAAGGUCUUGCUAAGUUGCCCAGCUUGGCCUCAAACUCUGCAUCCUCUUAGCCUCUCCAGUGCUUGGAUUGCAAGCAUGCACCGUCUUGCCCAGUUCUUUUUUCUCUUCUUUUUAAAAAAAAUCUCUGUAAAAAGUAAGGCUCAUGAAGUUAGGUCUUACAAUUUACCUUUGUGUCCCCAGGCAGGAAGCUGUCAGACACAUGGAAGGUGCCCCAUAGUAUUUGUUAAAUAAGAACAACACAUAUUUAUUCCUUUUUAAAAAGUAUAGGACAUAUAAUAAACUAAGAUGCAUAUUGAGAGUGUGCUUUAAUUCAAUUUGGGAUGUACUUUUCUACAAAGCUCUUGCUUCCAUCACUGGAAGCAUCACUAUUUUAUUUCUCGGUUAUUUUGUAAAAGCACUUUGAUUAACCUUUCUUCCCUUUUUCUCUAGGGUACUCUCACAGGAAACGGAAGUUACAGAAUGCAAGGGAAGCUUUGAACUUGUGAUCCUCCUGCCUCAGCUUCCUGCGUAGCUGGGAUUACAGACAUGUGCCACAGAGCCUGACUGUCCAGAUGAUGGUAAUAUGCAAUCAGGGCUGAGAAAUACAGGUCUGUUAUAUCUCUUGGCUUAAUCUCCAUUCCCCCUCUGCACAUACAAUCAUUUCCAAUAAGCAGCUCUUACAUAAUAAUCACUAUAUUUUUCAUUUUUCUGAAAUUUAAUACAUGAGAAUGCAAUAUAUUUUGGAAAAAAAGAAACUUCAAUCCUAUAUAAAACAUUUUAAACUAAGUAAAAUAUGGUAUAUUACAAACACAAAAUAUGUGCAGCAAAAAAGUCAAAGUUAAAUAAAAUACUGAACUAUACUGUCAGUAUUAUCAGAGGUGAAACAUGGAAAUAUGAUAAUAUUCAUAGGUAACAUUGAUAGCUAUCCAUUCAUCUGUCAUUUUUAAAGUUAUGUAGUUUAUGUUCAUCUCUACCUGUAACUUUUAAACUCUGUAUACAAAUAGGAAUUUGUUUGCUCUAUUGACAACAGUAUACCUAUAAAUUAUAUAUAAAUAUCAUAUUAUAUAUAUUAUUAAUAAUAUAAAUUAUGCAUAUACAUAUAUAUAGAGAGAGAGAGAGAGAGAAUUGAUCGCAUGGCUUUGCACAUGUUAGACAAGAGCUCUACCACUGAGCUCCAACCCCAGUCCUUUUAAGUCUUUCUUUUUUUUUAAUUUUGAGGAUGGGCCAAAACUUUUGAUCCUCCUACCUCAAACUCCCAAGCAGAUGCAAUUAGGAGCAUGGACCACCAACUUGAGAGUAACCAAUAUUAGUAUAUGAAUGAAUGAGUGAGUAUUUCUCACAGUAGAUCUGUGAGGUAGGUCUCUCAUUUUUCCCAUGUUAUAGAUAAGGAUGCUGAGACACACAAUUUACUAAUAUACAGUCUUCAUGGGAUAUUUGUGUUCUGUUCACUGCUGUACCUCUAGGUAUAUAGAACAGUGUGUAACAUACUAAAUAUUUCUUGAAUGAAAAUAGAAAAUAACUCCAUUUCCCCUAGCCAUAGAAUGGUAAAGAAGUCAGUAUUCAAACUCAAGUCUGAGUAGAUCUAUACCAUUCAUUUUUUUUCUUUUUCCUUUUGAAAUUGCUCAUGGCCAUGGAAGAAUUGCAGUAACAGUAAGAGAACAAUAACAGUACAAGACCCAGUGACCCUUCACCUGGACUCCUCACUCCGCCUGUGCCACAUUGGCUUUAUCUGUUUCCCGAUAUGCACCAUGAUUUUUUCUGAACCAUAUCUAAGGAAGGCACAGACAUCUUGACACUCCACCUGGACUCUUUGUCCAGUGAUUGCUAAGAGAAAACAUGCAGCUUUUAUAUCUAAGAAAAUUAAGAUUAGUUCAAAUUUCCUUAGCCGUUCACCAAAUUACUUUAUGGAUUUCCCCCAGUCAGCGUCCCACCAAGGCUCACUGCCUUUGGUUGCUGCCUUCUCAGAAGGUCUGUUCUUCUAGCCCUAUUCUGCAGUAUAGCACUUAAGAAAUGCUUAACUCCACCUCAGCAUUUUGUUUUCACAGCUUCGUCAGUCUGGCCAACCUUCCUCCCUCAGGAUCAGCAAAUGCAGGAGCAGAGGGGAUUUGCUCAGAGGAGAACAUCUACACCAUCAAGGAGAGCGUCUACCCCAUGGAGGAUCCAACUAGCAUGGCUCCCCAACCCAGAGACUGCAGAUUGUGGGCAUUAGAGCUCAGAAGUGCUUCAAUAAGGAGAAACCACCAACUGAGAGAAGAGACAAUCUACAGAGUAGGAAAAUAUAUUUACCAGCUAUUCAGAUAAAGGCCUACUAUCUAGCAUAUAUAAAGAACUCAAAAAAAUCAGAGCCCCCCCCCAAAUUUAAAGACCCAAUGCAAAGAUGGGCAUCUGAAA